RNAcentral lists this transfer RNA (77 nucleotides) under Achromobacter xylosoxidans. RNAcentral describes it as "tRNA-Asn". It matches the Rfam family "tRNA". Rfam says of the family: Transfer RNA (tRNA) molecules are approximately 80 nucleotides in length. The record is from RNAcentral. RNAcentral also lists the same sequence under 1 other name. Lineage: Bacteria; Pseudomonadati; Pseudomonadota; Betaproteobacteria; Burkholderiales; Alcaligenaceae.
UCCCCAGUAGCACAGUUGGUAGUUGCGCCGGACUGUUAAUCCGGAUGUCGCAGGUUCGAGCCCUGCCUGGGGAGCCA